This 302-nucleotide ribosomal RNA is filed under the name uncultured bacterium. Its description in RNAcentral is "partial 16S ribosomal RNA". It matches the Rfam family "Bacterial small subunit ribosomal RNA", at positions 508 to 807 of the family's 1533-position model. The record is from RNAcentral.
GCAGUCGCCGCGGUAAGACAGAGGAUGCAAGCGUUAUCCGGAAUGAUUGGGCGUAAAGCGUCUGUAGGUGGCUUUUCAAGUCCGCCGUCAAAUCCCAGGGCUCAACCCUGGACAGGCGGUGGAAACUACCAAGCCGGAGUACGGUAUGGGCAGAGGGAAUCUCCGGUGGAGCGGUGAAAUGCGUUGAGAUCGGAAAGAACACCAACGGCGAAAGCACUCUGCUGGGCCGACACUGACACUGAGAGACGAAAGCUAGGGGAGCAAAUGGGAUUAGAUACCCGGGUAGUCCCUGUCUCUUAUAC